AUCGGUUGUCUGUCCCUGCUCUCUGCCUCGGGGCCCUGGGUCCUGGCCUUGUUUCCUGUGGAGUUCGGGUCUCCAUUUUCUCCAUUCUGAGGUGAAAGGCAGCGGUCUGCCUUCUAUUAUGUUUGUAAAACUCUAGAGUGUGGGCAGGUACUUGGACUGCUCUGACAUUGUAACAAAGGAUUUAAAGCAUGUGCGAGGCGACUUGGCUCUCUUAUCUUCCAAGGACAAAAACGAGAAGAAAAAGCAGCAUGAGGCACAAUGGUUAGACAUUCAGAAGGACUUCCGAGAAGGGAGGUGCAGUAAAUAUUAGAAGAGGUCUACAGAAGAGGUUAAACGACCACCAUCAUACUCUUCAGUAGGAGGAUGGGCAACAAAACUAGCCACUUCAAGAAAAGGCAACAGGGACUUGCACAGGAUGCACCCCACCUGCACAAACUCUCAGAUUGGGAAGGGGCAUUCAGGCAGCGGCGGUUCCCCCACCUUCAUCCAGCUUCCUAGCAUCUUCAGCUCAGGACCCGGACCAGCCCCCCGCCGCUCUCUGAGAGAUAGCUGCUGGGGACGGAGUGAUGUAUGGAACACAGAUAAAAUGUCAGCAGUUCUAAAUGGGUCCGGAGAUGCAGCCGUGGGGGGCGCGCGGGGUCCCACCCCCCCUCCCCGUGAGCCCCGCGGCCGGAGCCCAAAUGAGGUUUUGAAGAGGAGCCGGCGGGCGGGGCGGCGGCCGGGCGGGGCGGCGGGCGCUGAUGUAUGGCGGUUUCAUAACUUCCUCGGUAUUAAAGGCGGGUUCACGCGGA
This 791-nucleotide long non-coding RNA is filed under the name Rattus norvegicus (Norway rat). RNAcentral's name for it is "long non-coding RNA NONRATT027372". The record is from RNAcentral. Lineage: Eukaryota; Metazoa; Chordata; Mammalia; Rodentia; Muridae.